Molecule: long non-coding RNA, 137 nt
Organism: Eptesicus fuscus (big brown bat)
Lineage: Eukaryota; Metazoa; Chordata; Mammalia; Chiroptera; Vespertilionidae
Exons: 3
Source: RefSeq, a predicted model, not a curated record
GACAUCGCACACCACAGCAGUCUUCCAUAGCGCAGAGGGUUCUUGGAGGGGAGCCGGUUCCUCUCAUCUAGCUUCCUCUGCAGAUCCACCUGCAAGAAGGACCACAGAGAAGUGGUGCAGGCUCUGGAGAAUGUGGG